Molecule: RNA transcript, 3616 nt
Organism: Triticum dicoccoides
Lineage: Eukaryota; Viridiplantae; Streptophyta; Magnoliopsida; Poales; Poaceae
Exons: 3
Source: RefSeq, a predicted model, not a curated record
CUACGCUGCUCAGGUUACCCCCUCCUCUCCCCGCCGCCGCCCACGACGGCAUCUCCUCCCUCCUCGCUUCCCUUCACGCCGAUGUCGCCGCCUAUGCCUCCGCGUCCCUCGCCCGCCUCGUGGCCACCCGCGCCGAUCCUCUCGCCCGUGACGACGGAUCCUCCCCUCCCCAACAUCUCUCGCGACCUAGGCGAGUCCUCCCGACACCGUCGCCGGCAAGAGCAACCGGAGCAGCGAUGCCCGACAACUUGCCCGGUGAAACUGGAGAGAGACAAUGAUGAUAUGGGCAUGGCGUGAUGCAGAUUUUCCCGGCGGAGCUGAGGAGAGGCGAAGAAGACAGUGGACAUGAUGCUCCUGCGCGUGGAGCUCUUCUGCACCACUCCACGACCCAUCUUCUUUUCGCUGCCAGCCGUCCGGUAAACAAGCCCGUGACCACUUUGCCGCAGGCGGACACGAUGCUACUCGGUGCACAACCCGCAGUGGGCGCUGAAGGUGUUUCGAAGAGCAAUGGAGGGGGCGGAUCCGGCGCACGUCACGGUGUUCUUCAGUCAGCCUCGCUGACCAGUUGCAGGCACACCGUGACAUGCCGCUCGAGGAGUACCAGGAUAAUCAAUUUGGGGGUAAUACAAGUCAAGUGUCUAUUCUCGAGAUUGGAUUGACUCUCAUUCCAUCAUUUUCCUUGUGGUUGUUCUUGGGCUACUAUUAAAUGAGUGGUAUGUGCUUGCUGUUCAUUCUUUUAUGUAUAUCGACAUCAUCGAUUGACACCAUAUUUACACUAUUUUUAUUCAUGAUGUUCUCUCUACUCAAAAAAAUGAAUGCAAGUUCUCCAGCUUGAUGGAUUCAAGCUCGGUUGUGAUGGAUUGGCCUGGUUCUGCUGGGUUGUAAGGCGAGGCACUGAUUUCUACUUUAAUGUUUUUUGCCAGAGAGUAUUAUGUUUGAAUGCCCACAUCAUCCUUUUUGAAAGUGCAAUUGACUACAAUGUGACAUUCUUUUUUUAAUACCAAAAAGUUCAAAGCUUUAUAAAAAAAAUUGAAACAUAAUUGCUUUGGCAUGUUCAAAAGUAUACUGCAAUAUUAGUAAUUUCAGUGCCCAUUCUGAAGUGCCAAUAUCUGAAUGCUAAAUCCGAACUAACAAGCUCCAACAGGCAAAAUUGGCAUGACAUCGAUCUUUAGCAGUCUGUAGAGGCACUAGAACAUGACAAGAACUUUUUCUAUUUAACAUUCUAUUGCUCAUUUUCCUACUUUUAUAUCCGAAGCUAACCAAAAUUUGGGUGGUUGAUAUUUUUACCUACUCUACAUUUUCUAGCUUGACGGAUUUUGAAGGCGAGGUACUGAUUUCUACAUUAUUUCAUUGGUGGGGUAUGUUUUGUACGGACUCGUAAGAAUUUUUUCCUCACCACCUGAUGUUAUAUACUUUGUGGUAUUGAGAAGCCACAGUACGGAACCAAAGCUUUGAACUGUAGUUUUCCUACUUAAUAUUCAUUGCUAAAUUUCUCAUUUUAUCAGUAGUUGAAUCUCUAUUUUGUUCUUGUGUAAAAAAGGUGCUUCAGUACUGCCCUUUGUAUGCAAUAGGGAAAUGGUCUCUUUGUUCAUCACGAGAAACAAUAGUUUAAAAUUUAGAAAUGCUUAUGGAGAUUACAAUAUUAGUCAUGUGAUCCACAUCGGAUUUUUUAUAUCAUUGCUGAUGCACCAAGUUGUUUUUGUGGGCAGAUCAAGAAUGUCUACCGCGUGUUGGGUCAAGGUGACAGAACACAAUUCAUCCCAUUAUCAUUAUGGGUGUAUGAUGGUAUAGUUGUAAGUUAGGAUUUAUAAUACAUGAAAAAAUUGAUUGCACGCAUAAGUAAGAAAUGUAAUUUACAGGAUAUAUAUACUUUUACAAUCAUACCCUUAUGCCACUUGAAAAAGGUGAAGGCAGGUGUUAAUUUGAUGUCGCUGUUUUGAAUCCAUGCAGUGAGUGAUGUUCAUACUUGGCAUUCUUUGUCAGAAUAGUGGUAUGAGGCAAGGCUUCAAAAUAAGGGAACAGAAAAGUUACAGAGUUAUACGUGUGCUCAACAUCAUUUGCCAUUAUUCAUGUUAGAGAUAAUUCGGUGACCUUAAUUAUGAUAACCUUGGAUAAUGUCUGCUCCUCGUGUUGAUUGCUAUUCUUCGGCUGGUAUGAAGGUGAGUGAGAGAGUUUCUCUACUGUAGUUUGUUGGAGUUACCAUUCUUCAGAAAUUUCUCAAUGGAUGUAAUCAACAGUUCUUAGAUGAUAUGUAUUCUAAAUUAAGACAUAGAUAAUAGAAGUUACCAUUUUUUACAAAUUUCUGAAUGGAUAUAAUACACAGUUCUUAGACUAUAAAUUUAGAGAAGGUAAAUUACUGAAGCAAGUUCCAAAAUUCUAUUAUGGAUAUCCGCAAUGGUUCGCAGUGUGUUAACCACUUGAUUCUACCAAUAUCUGUUCCAUAAUUAACUGGACCGUUUGUUUCUAGAAGCUUGCUACUUUCCUAUUUGAUUGACUUCAUGAAUAUUUGCAAUGUAUCAGACAAAAAACAGUGUUCCAGAGCAUUGUAUUUAGAUUGCCAUCCAAAUGAAGAGGCUGUUAAUUUUAAUGUUGGUAAUUUAUAUUUUGCAUGGACGAUAGCUUAUACAGUGUGACUUCACAAUGCAUAUAUUUUUGAUGGGAUGAAAGUCAACCUGCUGUUCCAUAGUUCACUGGUUAGGCAUUCUUCUACUACUGCAGGUUAUAGUAUUUUUACAAACAACUUUGCACGAGAGCAAAUACAAGCUUUUAAUGAGAGCAAAUACAAGCUUUUAAUGUUGACAUACUUGCACAACAUUAUCUAAUAUUGAAUGUAUCCAUGAUGCCUUGCGAUAUAUUGAGAAACUUCUUCCGUUGGGCUCGAAGGUGGGCUCGCUUGGGGCGGUGACGGUUGCCUCGACGCCCUCUCCACCUCCGUUGGAGCCUAGUCAGUCGGAGUAUGCAUGUGUGGAGGGUGAUGGUCCAGACAUGGCUAACAUGCGAUCGCUUGAACCCUUUGGAGGUGUGGUUCCUAUGGCUGAUAAAAUUGUUGUGGCCGGAGUGUUGGUGCCUAAUCCUGGUGUCCUUUUAGCCACCAAGAUAUGUGAAUUCCUAGCCAACCUGGACUCUGAAAAUUCUGGAAAGACGAUUGGAUGCCUCUUGGAGGAAAAAGCUUUGAGGGAGAAGCACAAGAAGGGUGGCGCUAACUCUAGAUCUGGCAUCCUCAAAGAGAAAUCUUGCAGGAGGAAAAGCAAGAAGGAUAGCGCUAGAGGGGAGGCGCAAAUGGUUCCAUGAUGGAUGGUUCUCGGCUUUCUGAGUUGCAGAUGUGUGCUUGGUCAUGGGGGUGGUUUUCGUCAAUGUGUUUUCUUCGAGUUGCAUUAUGUCGAUUGGUUUUCUUUUGCAGUACAGUGACCCAUAUGUUGUGGGUUGCAGUAGUAGUGUGUUGGGUGCUUCGGUCCCGUGGCUUCAUGAUUCGGGAGUAGUUCACAUGUGGAUGGGGUCGUGCUUUUGAGCAUGGUUGUGAUGGUUUUCGCCUGGUUUUCCAUAAAUUAACUAGGCAACUCUCUUCUUCUUAAUUAAUGGAUGAGGCAAAACUUUUGCCUCCGUUUCAAAAAAAAAA